Molecule: long non-coding RNA, 209 nt
Filed under: Elaeis guineensis (African oil palm)
Lineage: Eukaryota; Viridiplantae; Streptophyta; Magnoliopsida; Arecales; Arecaceae
Description: long non-coding RNA (EGUI_LNC017594)
Source: RNAcentral
CCUAUGGGUCUUGGCCGUCGGCAACGGGCCAAUGAUCGGAAAACAAAAAGAAAAGGGUGGGGUCCCUAUUUUUCUAAAUUUUUCUUCGUCGGUCGAACCUCACCGCCGGCCUUCUCUUGCCCUAUCACCGUCAACCAGGUGCCACAGCCCCUCAUCGGAGCUCGAGCUACCAAGAUCUUCCCUCGGAUCCUCCCCUACUCGACCAAGGA